Molecule: ribosomal RNA, 305 nt
Filed under: uncultured bacterium
Lineage: Bacteria
Description: bacterial SSU rRNA
Rfam family: Bacterial small subunit ribosomal RNA
Source: RNAcentral
ACUUCCCUACGGGACGCAGCAGUGAGGAAUAUUGGUCAAUGGUCGGGAGACUGAACCAGCCAAGCCGCGUGAGGGAGGAAGGUACAGAGUAUCGUAAACCUCUUUUGUCAGGGAACAAAGGCGGGGACGUGUCCCCGGAUGAGUGUACCUGAAGAAAAAGCAUCGGCUAACUCCGUGCCAGCAGCCGCGGUAAUACGGAGGAUGCGAGCGUUAUCCGGAUUUAUUGGGUUUAAAGGGUGCGUAGGCGGAAUAUCAAGUCAGCGGUAAAAAUUCGGGGUUAAACCCCGUCGUGCCGUUGAAACUGG